RNAcentral lists this ribosomal RNA (330 nucleotides) under uncultured eukaryote. RNAcentral's name for it is "partial 18S ribosomal RNA". It matches the Rfam family "Eukaryotic small subunit ribosomal RNA", at positions 1470 to 1796 of the family's 1831-position model. The record is from RNAcentral.
CCCUUAGAUGUUCUGGGCCGCACGCGCGCUACACUGAGCCCUUCAUCGAGUUUACAACCUUGGUCGGUAGGUCUGGGUAAUCUUCUCAAAGGGGCUCGUGCUGGGGAUAGAUUAUUGUAAUUUUUAAUCUUCAACGAGGAAUUCCUAGUAAACGCAAGUCAACAGCUUGCAUUGAUUACGUCCCUGCCCUUUGUACACACCGCCCGUCGCUACUACCGAUUGAAUGGCUUAGUGAGCCCGAGGGACUGUUGCACCUAGAGGGUUUUCUCUCCAGGAGCAGCCGGGAACUCGGUCAAACUUGAUCAUUUAGAGGAAGUAAAAGUCGUAACA